CGGGAUGCCUAGAGCGGCGAACGGGUGAGUAACACGUAGGUAAUCUGCCGUACGAUUGGGGAUAGCCCAGUGGAGGGGUGGGGUAAUACCGAAUACGACCUUCGGGGGAAAGGCGCUUCGGCGCCGUCGUACGAUGAGCCUGCGGCGCAUUAGUUAGUUGGCGGGGUAAAAGCCCACCAAUGCGACGAUGCGUAGCCGACCUGAGAGGGUGAUCGGCCACACUGGGACUGAGAUACGGCCCAGACUCCUACGGGAGGCAGCAGCGUGAGAAUCUUCCGCAAUGGACGCAAGUCCGACGGAGCGACGCCGCGUGGGCGAGGAAGGCCGAAAGGUUGUAAAGCCCUUUUCUGCGUGAGGAAUAAGGUAAGGAGGGAAUGCCUUACUGAUGACGGUAGCGCAGGAAUAAGCCCCGGCCAAUUACGUGCCAGCAGCCGCGGUAACACGUAUGGGGCGAGCGUUGUUCGGAAUUAUUGGGCGUAAAGGGCGCGCAGGCGGUCAUGCAAGCUUGGUGUGAAAGACCACGGCUCAACGGUGGAAACGCGCUGAGAACUGUAUGACUUGAGUUACGGAGGGGGAGCUGGAAUUCCAGGUGUAGGGGUGAAAUCUGUAGAUAUCUGGAAGAACAUCAGUGGCGAAGGCGAGCUCCUGGGCGGGAACUGACGCUGAGGCGCGAAAGCGUGGGGAGC
RNAcentral lists this ribosomal RNA (686 nucleotides) under uncultured organism. Its description in RNAcentral is "bacterial SSU rRNA". It matches the Rfam family "Bacterial small subunit ribosomal RNA", at positions 82 to 769 of the family's 1533-position model. The record is from RNAcentral.